UAAUAUUUUAUCUAAUAUACAAAUAGUUUUAAACGUUUGGAAUAUUAUAAAUUGGAUCCGCAAAAAUAUAAUUAAUAUAAAUAAUAGGCAUUUAUUGCCGUUCGUGGCCGCCCUGUCGUUUAUUUUCGUUUUGUCAUUUCUUUUUAUAUAUAUAUAUAUAUUAUUUCCGCCGAUAUGCGGGGGUCGGCUUAUAUAUAUUAAUGUUUUUGUUUAUUAAAAUUAUUUCUUUUGUAAAUUUUAACCGGCCUCGGUGCUCUAAUACAUUUACUAUAUUUGGUCGCGCGUGGUUAUUUUAUUUUUUGGUCCUGUUAUCGAAAUAUAUAAAUAUAAAACACGUAAUAAUUUUGCGUUGCGCCGUCGCGGGUACGCGAACUAUUUUUUUAUCCGUCAUUAUAAAAAAUCUUAGUAUAAUAUUUGCAACGGGUCGGCAACGUUUGAAAAUCGGUUUAUUAUUAAUACGGGCGUUUUUUAACGAAUUUCAAACGCGUUUAGGGUGUUAAUAUUUGUUAUAAAUUUCAACGGUUCCUACGUCGGGUUAUUAUAAUUUUAUUAUUUUAUUAAUAUUUGGCGGCCGCCCCUUUUUUUCCUGGGAUCGUUCGCGGCCAAAAUCGUUUUUACUAAUUUCAGUGUUUAAUUUCAACCCCGGCUGCGGAAGGGAUCGAGCGCUUUAUAUACUUUACCAGCCAUAUGGGCUUUCAACCAAUUAUAUUGGUCGAAAAGAAACCGUUCGUUUUGAUUUAAGGACAUUUUGUCGAUUUUAACCGCAUAUGGAGGUAGGAUGCAAAAUAUACGUAUUGUAUACGCACAGUACAGGUAAAAACGAUAUAAUUAAAAUAUUAUGCAUUUUAUAUAUUUGAAUAAAAAGUCAAAUAAUAAACCUAAUAAAAAAUAUAAAAAUGCACAGAAGGUACCAUUAUAUAAUAAAAAACUUAAGGUUCUUACCGGUAUUUUAUUUUAUAUUUUGCCGCUUAUAUUGGCCGGGCUAUCAACCGUUUUACCUAUUUUAUUUGUAUUUUUACUUUUUAUUCUAUAAACGAAUAUAUAUACGGUAAAAAUUAUAAUUUGUAUUUGAAAAUAAUAUUUACAUUUAUUUAUAAAUAUAAUUAUUUUACUAUUGUUUCUAAAAUAUUUAUUUAAAAUUUUAUAAUAAAAAAUAUAAA
RNAcentral lists this small RNA (1160 nucleotides) under Pyricularia oryzae. RNAcentral's name for it is "Magnaporthe oryzae sRNA M_BR32_EuGene_00144741". The record is from RNAcentral. Lineage: Eukaryota; Fungi; Ascomycota; Sordariomycetes; Magnaporthales; Pyriculariaceae.